This 200-nucleotide ribosomal RNA is filed under the name uncultured bacterium. Its description in RNAcentral is "partial 16S ribosomal RNA". It matches the Rfam family "Bacterial small subunit ribosomal RNA", at positions 29 to 258 of the family's 1533-position model. The record is from RNAcentral.
AACGAACGCUGGCGGCAGGCUUAACACAUGCAAGUCGAACGCCCCGCAAGGGGAGUGGCAGACGGGUGAGUAACGCGUGGGAAUCUACCUAGUUCUACGGAACAACAGAGGGAAACUUCUGCUAAUACCGUAUACGCCCUACGGGGGAAAGAUUUAUCGGAAUUAGAUGAGCCCGCGUAAGAUUAGCUAGUUGGUGGGGU